GGGGUCAUUGGACGAUCAAGAAGGCUCAUGGCCUAGGCUGGUGACCUCCAUUAAACUUUGGAGGGGCGCCCACCUAAGGUCGAAAAAAAAAAAGCUAC
This 98-nucleotide small nuclear RNA is filed under the name Nicotiana attenuata. RNAcentral describes it as "snRNA U1". The record is from RNAcentral. Lineage: Eukaryota; Viridiplantae; Streptophyta; Magnoliopsida; Solanales; Solanaceae.